This 406-nucleotide ribosomal RNA is filed under the name uncultured bacterium. RNAcentral's name for it is "partial 16S ribosomal RNA". It matches the Rfam family "Bacterial small subunit ribosomal RNA", at positions 30 to 526 of the family's 1533-position model. The record is from RNAcentral.
AUUGAACGCUGGCGGCAGGCCUAACACAUGCAAGUCGAACGAGUGGCGGACGGGUGAGUAAUGUCUGGGAAAAUGCCCGAUGGAGGGGGAUCACUACGGGAAACGGUAGCUAAUACCGCAUACCAUCGGAUGUGCCCAUAUGGGAUUAGCUUGUAGGUGGGGUAACGGCGCACCUAGGCGACGAUCCCUAGCUGGUCUGAGAGGAUGACCAGCAACACUGGAACUGAGACACGGUCCAGACUCCUACGGGAGGCAGCAGUGGGGAAUAUUGCACAAUGGGCGCAAGCCGGAUGCAGCCAUGCCGCGUGUGUGAAGAAGGCCUUCGGGUUGUAAAGUACUUUCAGCGAGGAGGCGUUACUCGCAGAAGAAGCACCGGCUAACUCCGUGCCAGCAGCCGCGGUAAUAC